GAAGCGUGGCGCUGCUUAACAUGCAGUCGACGGCAGCAUGAUCUAGCUUGCUAGAUUGAUGGCGAGUGGCGAACGGGUGAGUAAUACAUCGGAACGUGCCCUGUAGUGGGGGAUAACUAGUCGAAAGAUUAGCUAAUACCGCAUACGACCUGAGGGUGAAAGUGGGGGACCGCAAGGCCUCAUGCUAUAGGAGCGGCCGAUGUCUGAUUAGCUAGUUGGUGAGGUAAAGGCUCACCAAGGCGACGAUCAGUAGCUGGUCUGAGAGGACGAUCAGCCACACUGGGACUGAGACACGGCCCAGACUCCUACGGGAGGCAGCAGUGGGGAAUUUUGGACAAUGGGCGAAAGCCUGAUCCAGCAAUGCCGCGUGUGUGAAGAAGGCCUUCGGGUUGUAAAGCACUUUUGUCCGGAAAGAAAUGGCUCUGGUUAAUACCUGGGGUCGAUGACGGUACCGGAAGAAUAAGGACCGGCUAACUACGUGCCAGCAGCCGCGGUAAUACGUAGGGUCCAAGCGUUAAUCGGAAUUACUGGGCGUAAAGCGUGCGCAGGCGGUUGUGCAAGACCGAUGUGAAAUCCCCGAGCUUAACUUGGGAAUUGCAUUGGUGACUGCACGGCUAGAGUGUGUCAGAGGGGGGUAGAAUUCCACGUGUAGCAGUGAAAUGCGUAGAGAUGUGGAGGAAUACCGAUGGCGAAGGCAGCCCCCUGGGAUAACACUGACGCUCAUGCACGAAAGCGUGGGGAGCAAACAGGAUUAGAUACCCUGGUAGUCCACGCCCUAAACGAUGUCAACUAGUUGUUGGGGAUUCAUUUCCUUAGUAACGUAGCUAACGCGUGAAGUUGACCGCCUGGGGAGUACGGUCGCAAGAUUAAAACUCAGAAGGAUUUGGCAGCGGA
RNAcentral lists this ribosomal RNA (894 nucleotides) under Ralstonia sp. Its description in RNAcentral is "bacterial SSU rRNA". It matches the Rfam family "Bacterial small subunit ribosomal RNA", at positions 32 to 920 of the family's 1533-position model. Lineage: Bacteria; Pseudomonadati; Pseudomonadota; Betaproteobacteria; Burkholderiales; Burkholderiaceae. The record is from RNAcentral.